CAGCCGCCGCGGUAAUACGUAGGUGGCAAGCGUUGUCCGGAAUUAUUGGGCGUAAAGCGCGCGCAGGCGGAUAGGUCAGUCUGUCUUAAAAGUUCGGGGCUUAACCCCGUGAUGAGAUGGAAACUGCCAAUCUAGAGUAUCGGAGAGGAAAGUGGAAUUCCUAGUGUAGCGGUGAAAUGCGUAGAUAUUAGGAAGAACACCAGUGGCGAAGGCGACUUUCUGGACGAAAACUGACGCUGAGGCGCGAAAGCCAGGAGAGCGAACGGGAUUAGAUACCCCUGUAGUCCCUGUCUCUUAUACA
This 301-nucleotide ribosomal RNA is filed under the name uncultured bacterium. RNAcentral describes it as "partial 16S ribosomal RNA". It matches the Rfam family "Bacterial small subunit ribosomal RNA", at positions 509 to 809 of the family's 1533-position model. The record is from RNAcentral.